GGGAUGAAUCUGGUACCUUCACGCAAUAGAUUGAUCGGAUCUGGCGGAGUGGGGCGCUGCUAUCUCUUCGUGCAACUCAUUUAGGAUGGUCCACAUCUUGACUGCAUCUGGUUGGCAUCUAAUCCAGGCUUGGACAAGUUAUUUUCACAGCCGAAAACGAUGAGGAUUUACAGAAGUUCCAUUUUCCGGAAUCAGGAAGGAUUGAGAUGACUCAUGACACCUGCAGGUGGUGAGGGAGUUGACUGCCAGGUUCUGAGAUAUCAUUGAGAUGACCGAAUGGCUGACUAUCGUUCCUAAAAAAGCCAUUCUCAAUAUAUCCCAAUGUCAACCAACAACUACAAUGAUUAAAGGUUCUCAUUAGGGCACUGGCGAUCCUGAAUCCUCAAAAGUGGGAAACAACUCGCGAAGCUCUGGAACACUCCGGAUUUGCUGGCUAUGAGGUGGCUGUACCAUGAUAUCCUUUGAAAUUUCUGCGCUGCUUCAGGAUUUCUGAUGCCAUGCCAAAUGAAUGGAAGGCGUUGCUGGGGAUUGGGACGUCUGUAAGACAGUACAGGGAGGUUUGCCGUCCUCCAGCAAGUUUGGGCGAAACGUAGGUCUCAGUCGAAUAUGAAGAGUGUUUUGUGUUUAUUCCACAUCAAGUAAUUACAUGAGGUAGUGGGAGUUAUAGUAGCUGGUUUUGAAAGGCCAAUGAGCCUGACAUUUGUGUCAGAAUGAUAAACAGGACCGUGGUAGAAUCAGCUGGUAGAUGGACAAAACCAGUGAGGCACGUAGGAGUUCGGCGCCCCUAUUUGCGGGCAAUCUCUCAUCAUGGAGGAAAUUGUACAGGA
RNAcentral lists this small RNA (827 nucleotides) under Histoplasma ohiense. Its description in RNAcentral is "hypothetical lncRNA". Lineage: Eukaryota; Fungi; Ascomycota; Eurotiomycetes; Onygenales; Ajellomycetaceae. The record is from RNAcentral.